AAAGUCGUAACAAGGUCUCCGUUGGUGAACCAGCGGAGGGAUCAUUACCGAGUUACCAAACUCCAAACCUUUGUGAACAUACCGUCGUUGCUUCGGCGGGCGGCUCCGGGGGAGCCCCCAGGCCAUUCGCGGUGCCCGCCGAAAGCCCAGACUCUUCAAUUUACAGCGGUCUCAGCCUCCGAGUGGAAAAAACAAACAAGUAAAAACUUUCAACAACGGAUCUCUUGGUUCUG
Molecule: unclassified non-coding RNA, 233 nt
Filed under: Ascomycota sp.
Lineage: Eukaryota; Fungi; Ascomycota
Description: partial contains small subunit ribosomal RNA, internal transcribed spacer 1, and 5.8S ribosomal RNA
Rfam family: Eukaryotic small subunit ribosomal RNA (bases 1-47)
Source: RNAcentral